AGGAGGAUGGGACAGCGAUUUCCGUUUGGGGCAGCCGGCGCCCGCGCUGUCAACGGAUGAGUCGACGGUAGAAGAUAAAGGAGAAAUCCUCAAAUGACUCCGGAGGUCCGAUCAUGUCGCCGGUGGCGGAAGGGGACUUGGAGGCGGUAGAGCGGGAGAUCAUGCGACGGGACUCGGCCUCCCCGACCGUCGAAAAUCGGAUGCUCUUCGAUGGCAGAGACCACUCAAAUACUUUCUUUGAUCCGCUGCUCUAUCAAAGGCCCUAUCAUCGUCGGCACUCUCCGCCAUUCAUCGUCGUCGUCAUCAUCCUCCUCCUCUGUGUUCCCCUCGGCGAACGCAAU
Molecule: long non-coding RNA, 341 nt
Filed under: Elaeis guineensis (African oil palm)
Lineage: Eukaryota; Viridiplantae; Streptophyta; Magnoliopsida; Arecales; Arecaceae
Description: long non-coding RNA (EGUI_LNC019329)
Source: RNAcentral